GGCAAUGGAACAGCCACUCAGCAGCACAGUUGCACAUUAUAUAAGCUACCAGCUACGGACCUCUGUAGCCGUCAUGCAAAGCUACCAGUUGCACAUUCUUCUUUUAGUAAAUACGACCCUCCAUGGUUGUUCCCUAAUGAAUAAUUAAGGCGAAGGAUGCACAAAGACAAAAAUGGGAAGUAAGUUCAACACAUUAACAACAAAAAAUUGUAAUAGAUGAGAUUAUAAUCAUGCAUCACACGCUCCUUCCUCUAGAAUAAACAACAUGCACCAUACGUGACUAACAAUAGUACAUCUAUAAAGAUAUUUAUGUAUGCAUGUACGUACAAUUUUUGUUCAUGUAAAUUUACAAUACAUGGGUAUAUGCAUAAAAUGUGUACAGAGCCAAUCUUUUAAAACAAACUAAAAAUAUAAAAUAAAUGGGUAUAUAAUCUGGAUCGAUCAGAAAACAUGAAAGUUACAUGCAUAAUCUACAUCUACCAGCAAAUUAUGUUCAGAAUAUCUCAUUAUUGCCUCAGAAAUCAGAGAAAAACAAUCAUAAUAGAAUCAUAACUUGAACAAUAAGCCUCAACUUCCUCCACAAAUUAUCACUAUUUUAAGAUGGGAAAGAAGAGGAGAAAGGAAGGGAUAUCGACAGCACCUUCCACCUCCACCGCGAAAAAGCAGCCAUGGAUUAAUAGUAAGAGAAUUACUGUUUUAGACGAAGGGCAUCAUCAUGACCACCACAAAACAUAUGCCUCUAAAUUUUACUGGAGGAAAUGACCAUGGCAAUUAAAAAAUUCAUAAGUUUUUUGACACAAGAAUAAGAUAUGACAAUAACAAAAAAUGAAAAGGAGACAAAAAAAUGGCUUGCGGAGUUGAGCAGGAGGAAAGGCUUACUUGGCCCCACUUAUCAGAAACCUUGUGCCAUCACCAGUAGGGUGCAGUGUUAAGCCUGCAGAGCAACUGACCUUCCAAAUUGCAAAGAAUGCAACUUUUACAUUUUAUUUCAACAUUGACACAAACUAACUGGAAAAUAAUACUACAAAAUACAGAGUAAGUAUAAAUUAUUGAUUUUAAAGAAUUAAAAAAAACACAUUUCUGUUCAAGAUAGCCACUAAGAAGAUGUGGCAAAUAAUUACAUAAGCGAAUGAUCUCAGUAGACAAGAAAUGUUGAUAUGCUCAAGGGAGGGUUAUUUUAGAUCGUGUUAGCCAAUGGAGUACGCAUCAAGAACAUCAUCCUAGCAGAGCAAGAAGAGGAAGAAGAAGAAGAGGAGGAGGAGGAAGAAUGAGAAGAAUAGCAGAUCCAAAAUGGGAGGCUCAGAGGAAAUUUUGAAUCGACAGGACCAAAGGAUCUCCCUUUCUCAGCUCUUCCACCCAGCGACCUCUCCAUCUCAAGAUGGCUGCACAUCGGUUGCCUGCAGGAAAGCAGACCCUCCAGAGCUGCCUCGCCCAUCGUUCUAGAAGAGAGAAGACAAGCAGAGGAGAGGAGGAGAGAUGG
Molecule: long non-coding RNA, 1480 nt
Filed under: Phoenix dactylifera (date palm)
Lineage: Eukaryota; Viridiplantae; Streptophyta; Magnoliopsida; Arecales; Arecaceae
Description: long non-coding RNA (PDAC_LNC003891)
Source: RNAcentral